Molecule: ribosomal RNA, 1398 nt
Filed under: Triticum aestivum (bread wheat)
Lineage: Eukaryota; Viridiplantae; Streptophyta; Magnoliopsida; Poales; Poaceae
Description: partial small subunit ribosomal RNA
Source: RNAcentral
AUGGCGGCCACUCAAGCAAUUCUAAAUGCUUUUGGGAGGAUCUCUGGGCUCUUCACCAAUUUCAGCAAAUCAUCGGCCUUCCCUAUCUGCUGUGAUGAACUGACAAUCAGUGAAGCACUUUUGGAUUUUGCAGGAACUGUUGACUCCUUCCCCUGCAAGUAUCUCGGGCUCCCUCUCAGCCUUGGCAAGCUAAGGCGCGCUGACCUUCAAUUGUUGAUUGAUAAAAUCGCUGCCAAGUUGGCAGGUUGGAAAGGGAAAUUGUUGAACAAAGCGGGAAGGCUGACGCUGAUCAACUCUGUCCUAACCUCUUUCACCACCUAUAUUUUGACCUUGUUCGCUCCCAGCAAAUGGCUGAUCAAGAGGAUUGAUAAACUCAGGAGAAGUUUCCUUUGGAAAGGCUGUGAGGAAGAAGCCAAAGGUGGAAGCUGUGCAGUAAACUGGCAGGUCGUUUGCUCACCAAAGAAGUAUGGUGGUCUUGGAAUAAAAAAUCUAUCCUUUUUCAGUAGGGCUCUCAGGCUGCGGUGGGCAUGGUUCGCGUGGCAAAGUCUGCCUCGGCCAUGGCUAGGCAUGAAGCUUCCUUGCUCGGACGUCGACAUGAAGCUCUUCAAUGCCUCGACCAUCAUCCACCUUGGCAAUGGGCAGACUGCAAGUUUCUGGCACUCAAAGUGGCUGAGCGGAGCCGCCCCCAAGGACCUUGCACCCUCCCUGUUCAAACUGGCUCGCAGGAAAUCCUACACAGUCGCCCAGGCACUUCAUGGUAGCAAGUGGAUGAAAGGACUUGAGAGAAUCAGCUCACACAAUGAUCUGCACUCCUUUCUGCUGCUAUGGGAGAAAAUUCAGAAUGUCGACUUGUCUGACGCCAGCGAUGCCAUCGAGUGGAUUUGGACGAAGGACAAGUCUUACUCUGCUAGCACGGCCUACUCCUGUCAAUUCACUGGCUCCAUCGCCAAACCUGAGCUUGACCUGAUCUGGAGGCUGAAGAUUGAGAGAAAGUUGCGUUUUUCCCUUUGGACAUUGGCUCAAAACAGACUCCCAACCACUGACAGGCUCCGUGCCCAUGGGGGUGACCAGAGUGCGACGUGUGCCCUCUGUCUUCAACAACCUGAAACAGCGCUCCACCUCUUCAACUCUUGCGUCUUUUCCAAGGUUGUUUGGUCCAAGCUAUGUUUGGCGCGGCCAGGAUGCUGCCCUACUCUGCCUGCUAAUCUUUCGUCGAUCUCUCAAUGGUGGAGGGCCUGCUCCCGGCAUACUAAAGAGCAUGCCGCGGCCGCUGCCUACUUCGCUUGGCAUAUUUGGAAUAAAAGGAACAGGAGGAUUUUCAAUGCCAAAUCAACCUCAGCGGACGGUGUGCUCUCGUUGAUCAAACAUGAUUUAGAUAUAUUGAGAGUAGCGUUUUAG